CCUACGGGAGGCUGCAGUGGGGAAUAUUGGACAAUGGGCGAAAGCCUGAUCCAGCCAUGCCGCGUGUGUGAAGAAGGCCUUCGGGUUGUAAAGCACUUUCAGUGGGGAAGAAAGCCUUGGGGCUAAUACCCUCGAGGAAGGACAUCACCCACAGAAGAAGCACCGGCUAACUCCGUGCCAGCAGCCGCGGUAAUACGGAGGGUGCGAGCGUUAAUCGGAAUUACUGGGCGUAAAGCGCGCGUAGGCGGUCUGAUAAGCCGGUUGUGAAAGCCCCGGGCUCAACCUGGGAACGGCAUCCGGAACGGUCAGGCUAGAGUGCCGGAGAGGAAGGUAGAAUUCCCGGUGUAGCGGUGAAAUGCGUAGAGAUCGGGAGGAAUACCAGUGGCGAAGGCGGCCUUCUGGACUGACACUGACGCUGAGGUGCGAAAGCGUGGGUAGCAAACAGGAUUAGAUACCCCUGUAGUC
This 465-nucleotide ribosomal RNA is filed under the name Vreelandella stevensii. RNAcentral describes it as "partial 16S ribosomal RNA". It matches the Rfam family "Bacterial small subunit ribosomal RNA", at positions 338 to 795 of the family's 1533-position model. Lineage: Bacteria; Pseudomonadati; Pseudomonadota; Gammaproteobacteria; Oceanospirillales; Halomonadaceae. The record is from RNAcentral.